This 3157-nucleotide long non-coding RNA is filed under the name Canis lupus familiaris (dog). Its description in RNAcentral is "lncRNA (ENSCAFG00030000647.1)". The record is from RNAcentral. Lineage: Eukaryota; Metazoa; Chordata; Mammalia; Carnivora; Canidae.
AUGGCUCCAGCGGCAGCUGCAGCAAGUCUCCCGCCUGCUCAGAGGGGCCUGGAGGUCCCGGUGCAAGUCCUGCUCUGCCGCCACCCACCUCAGGCAAGCUCCUUCUGGGGGGCCAGGCACGUGCUCCUAAGUCCCCAGCCUGCCUCGUAUCUGCACUGGAAACCAGCAAGUGGCCGUCCCUCUCGGAGCCCCCUCCCCGCAGAACCCGCUCAGCGCAGCCCAGCGACCCCCAUCUCGCCUCGGCAGCUGGUGAAUCACAACUCGGGCUGGCGAGCAGGUGCGUCCAGGCUGCCGCCGGAGCAGCAGGAGGUGUGGCUCCUUCUCCAAACAGAGAGGACCUGGCGGUUCAGGGCGGCCAAGGGUGCACAGGGCAGGGGAGGGAGGGGGGUGAGCAGGGCUGCGGCCAAGGGAAGGCGGAGGCACCCGGCCUUCCAGGAGCGCUUACGUUUGGCCAUUCAAGCCACGCUGAGGCCCCACUGCUGCUCUCCACACGGCGGUGACAGGGCGACAGGGCGACAGGUGUAUCUCCACCUGAUACACAGAGGGGUUGCGCCGCGAGGUGCCCCCCGCGAGGGGUCCGCCGCAUCCUGCAGGGCUCCCCGGAGCCCACGCCAGCGCUGGCCGCCCUCUGUGUCCCCUCGCCCAAGGCGGCGCCGUCCUCGUCCUCGCUCGGCCGCCGGCUGUGCUCGUUUGCGGAAAAGGAAAGCGAGCUGUUCAGUAAGGGGGGCCGGGGCCGGGGUAGAGCCGGGGUGCCUGACACCGCGGCGCCCAGCAGGUGAGGCCGACAGCCCAGCAUGAAGCCCAGGGAACUGCGUGGGGCCCCGGCGCUUCACACCCCGAGCCACAGAACGGGCUCGUCUGGGCCGUUCACUCCGGGGCGCGGGCGUCUGCGGGUGACAUGCCCUCGUCUUGAAGUCAGACCCUCGGGCUCCGCACUCAGUGAGCUGCUGCAAUGUGAAGCCCCCCCCACGUGCAAAACAGACCUGACAAGAGCUGUUCUGUUUAACGGAGGAAGAUGGGGAGCAGCGCUUCUUCACCAGCCCAGACUCACGGCUCUCUGGGCACGGUCUCUGCAGAGCCGCGGCGGAGCCGCCGACCCCACCCCACCUCUUCUUAAUAAAUGGGUAACCCGGGGCACCAGGGGGGCUCAGGGGUUGAGCAUCUCCCUUCAGCUCAGGGUGUGAUCCUGGGGUCCUGGGAUCGAGUCCUGCCUCGGGCUCCCUGCGUGGAGCCUGCUUCUCCCUCUGCCUGUGUCUCUGCCUCUCUCUGUGUGUCUCUCAUGGAUAAAUAAAUAAAUAAAAAUCUUUUAAAAAAUAAAGUAAAAUAAAUGGGUCACCCAUGGCCAGGUGGUGGAUUAGGACAGAACCCUCAAGGGGCUCACUCGAUGUUACCCAAGGGGAAUAUCUUUGGCCGCCCUGCCUUGCUUCCAGAUGUGGGUAAAGGACAGAGGCCUUUAUGGGGAUGAGACUUGCCUGGACUGAGAGGAAGAGCCUGGGUUCCUGGCCCCGGGCUCUGCCUUUGGUGCCUUUGGGGCUCGGCUCUGCGUCAGUCAAGAUGAGUUGGCUCAAGAUGCAGUAGCAGGUAUCCCCAAAAUCUUAGGCUCAAAACAACAGAAGUUUAUUUCUCUCUCACACACACAAUCCAUUUCCAGGCUGGGGUCCUCCAGGGUCACAUCCCCCAUGAGGUGGCUCCACAGUCGAGCGGUGUUAAUCUUCUGGGGCUUCAGGGGUGGCCAGAGCAGAGAAGGGACAGGGGCUAUCUAGGUCCAAGCUGCUUUCAUCCAGAGGUGAGACACAUCCUUUCAGCUCACAUUUCAUCGACCAAAGAAAGCCACAUGAUCACAGUUAACCCUGGAGCGGGGCUGGAAUCAUCACAGGAUGACGGUGUGUAUCCUCCCUGAAAAUACCACCCAUGUUUCUAAGUCACCGAAGUAGGCGAAGUGAUAUCCACAUUAUUCCUUCACCCCUUCGUGUAUGUGUUCAACCCACUAGCAGUGAUGUAGGAUCAGAACUCGGGGCUCCUAAGCCAGGCCAGGCCCUCCUUCUCAUGCCCUCCACCAGCCUGGCUCACAUUUUGGCCUUAGUUUGCUUUCUCCCUAAAGCAGAGCCUGAGCCAAGGACUUGGGUCCAGAAGGUUUACUUGGAGGUGAGUCCAGGAGGCCACAGUGAGGGAGCAAGAGAGCAAGACCAGGAGGCAGGGGUGCCAGCCUCACGUGCAUGAGUCACCAGCGUGGGCAACUGGUGCCCUCUCCCACCAGGGACCCCCUGAGGAAUGGUGUCGAAUGCACCUGAGCACUGUCCCGUGUGAUGCGAGGCUACAGCAUGCAGCCGCUGACCACUGCUCCCACUGAUGGAGGCUCGUCCCUGAACAAGUGAGCACCCACGGUUCAUGGGGACGGGGCUGCAGCCACCCUCCGAGGGGGGCAGAGGGCCGAGGAGUGCAGCACCAGCAGCAUCUGCCCUUGGUGCUGAAGGUAGUGCCACAUGGAAACCCAGGACAAACAGCCUCACGCUGGCCCCACGAUGGAAGUGAACGUGUCUCGGGACGGCUGCUGAGCUAUUUUCUCUCAACCUCCUGUCCUGAUCUGGAAGGAGCCAAUGCCUCCACAGGGAAACAGUGAAGAACAGCACCGCUGUGGUGCCGACUGACCCAGGGCGGGAGCAGGAAGGCAGGCAGCCACAGGCACAGGGAGGCCAGGAAGGAGGUCAGCAUGGCGCAAAGCAGAAACAGGUCUGUUGGAGCAGUGCCCAUGCAUGGCCUGUCCAGGACUUCCAGGAGCUGGGAGACGCCAUCCCUGCCCUUAAAGCCUCCAGUCUCUCAAGAACCUUCCCUGGCAAAAGGCAACAUGGUGCAAGUGGAAAGUCCCAGCCUUGGAGACAGAUGCCCCGAGUUCCAGUCUGGAUACCAUGUUCACUGCACGUCUGCAAAGGCAGACACAGAGACCAGAACACUGUUGGUGCUGCACCUUGUUCCAGCAGCGGGGGUUGGCUCGGCGGCCACUGUACUGAAGCUCUUGAUCUUGCCUCGCAAAGCGCCAGACCCAACUCGUAGCAGGCUCCUCCUAGUCCAAAGUUCCUCCGAUCCCACAUUUCUGGAAGGAACCCCAAAGCAGCUCUCCUGUUGGGGACACCCACAGAAGGACCUUCACCCUCUCAAU